AUGCAGAACGAGGUGGGUGAUAUGGUGGACCUCUAUGUCCCAAGGAAGUGCUCUGCCACCAACAGGAUCAUAACUGCCAAGGACCACGCCUCUGUCCAGAUCAACAUCGGGCAUGUGGAUGCGAAUGGACUGUAUAAUGGCAGUUUCACCACGUUUGCCCUCUCUGGAUUCGUCCGCGCCCAGGGUGAUGCCGAUGGUUCUUUGGACAGGCUCUGGCAGCAGAAGAGGGCUGAGAUCAAGCAGUAG
This 246-nucleotide ribosomal RNA is filed under the name Triticum aestivum (bread wheat). RNAcentral's name for it is "partial small subunit ribosomal RNA". The record is from RNAcentral. Lineage: Eukaryota; Viridiplantae; Streptophyta; Magnoliopsida; Poales; Poaceae.